RNAcentral lists this long non-coding RNA (393 nucleotides) under Gossypium barbadense (sea-island cotton). RNAcentral describes it as "long non-coding RNA (GBAR_LNC017168)". Lineage: Eukaryota; Viridiplantae; Streptophyta; Magnoliopsida; Malvales; Malvaceae. The record is from RNAcentral.
AAAAAAAAAUUCAAAAUUUUUUUUUUUUAAAGUAUAAAAAAAAAAGUGAAAAGUCUUGUGAGUUUUAUUUUGUUUCUUGUUGCUUCCAAGCAUCCAUUCAUUCUACCAUUCCCUCUACCCCCCAAAACGCCACACAUACUUUGAUUUUUAUUUUCUUUGUUUAGCCUACCCUACACCCGACGUUAUCCCUUGUAACCCAUUUGAAGCCGACCCUCUAAGCCGCAAUAAGUCUUCUUGAAACAAAAUACGAAUUCACGAGAGUGAGACGAGCGGAAAAAGGCACGAGUGGUGAGUACAUUAGAGCGAGCAAAAGCCAUUAAACAAGUGUAAACACGAGUGGAGUGUUAUCCAAUUUUCUUUGUGAGUGAAACGUGAGAUUUUUGUGGUGAGGUA